GCCGGGAUAGCUCAGUGGGCUACAGCAUGGUGCUGAUAACGCCAAGGUUGCAGGUUCGAUCCCCCCAUAUGGGACA
This is a non-coding RNA of Podarcis lilfordi (Lilford's wall lizard), 76 nucleotides long. Lineage: Eukaryota; Metazoa; Chordata; Lepidosauria; Squamata; Lacertidae. The record is from the annotation of a GenBank genome assembly.